Molecule: RNase P RNA, 457 nt
Filed under: Candidatus Cloacimonadota bacterium
Lineage: Bacteria; Pseudomonadati; Candidatus Cloacimonadota
Description: RNase P RNA component class A
Rfam family: Bacterial RNase P class A
About the family: Ribonuclease P (RNase P) is a ubiquitous endoribonuclease, found in archaea, bacteria and eukarya as well as chloroplasts and mitochondria. Its best characterised activity is the generation of mature 5'-ends of tRNAs by cleaving the 5'-leader elements of precursor-tRNAs.
Source: RNAcentral
CAAAGAAGAUAAAGUGUCUGCCCAGCACCUACUUUGGAAGAAAACACAUCAUCAACCAAAGUAGGUGCUGGAAGGAAAGUCCGAACACCAGAGGGCAGGAUACUUCCUAACAGGAAGUCCCGGUGACGGGGAGCCAGCUCCACAGAAACAAACUACCCAGCACCUAUUUGCGAUGUCUAAAUAUAGGACUUUGCAAAUAGGUGCUGGGAAAAGGUGAAAAGGUAGUGUAAGAGACUACCAGAUUCCGGUGUGAAUCGGGAUGCUCGGAAAGCCUUGUUCGGUGCAAUGCCAAAUAGGAGAGCAUGAGUUAGCCCGACUCUUUUUGUUCUCGGGUAGGCAGCUAAAACCGGUCAUUAUUUGAACCCUGAGGGGUAUAGAAAUAUCCGGUUUAGACAAAUAGACAUUAGAUUGCUUGUUAGGCAAUUUACAGAAUUCGGCUUAUUAUCUUCUUUGACAA